AAGCGCAGUUUACCAUGGCAGGGCAGGCCUGCGGCAGAAACGCGAGGCAGUAGGGCACCUUACAUCUGCCAGGCAUCGAAGCUCGGCUAGCUUCCAGUUUUCAUUCAGCCUGGGACCCCAGCUCACACUGUGAUGCUGCUCAAGUGAGUCUGCCGCCCCUGCAGACGGCCAAGAGCCAUGAGCCGCACUCACUCCAGGAUGUUGUCUGCUCUGACAACCACACCACCUGGGUGAGGGUAUCCGGUGCUGCGAGGAGGAGAUUCUCCAGCUCUUCCCCGCAUGCUUGCAGAGACUUACUGGUCAUGCCGGGUGUCGGGGAUGCUUCUGUCCAUGUGCAGCUUGUCACUCUCCACCUGGUUGAACUUGUUACGUGCGUAGGGGUCCUGCCCAGAGCGAACCAUCGUACCGCCGACGUAUGCCUCCUGGUUAAAGUCUGGCCACCGGACUUUGCCUGGAAAAAAGCGAAGCAGAGGGUGUGGGACAAGCGGACACGAGACCAGAGUGUUGCCAGAGAUGGCAGCAAGUGUUAGGUCGAGCGACAGUGGCCUUGGCUCGUUCACAGGAGGACAACUGUAAUCAACAGUAGCUGAGAGGGCCCUGAACAUCAUCACACAGAAGCUGAGACUCUGCAGGACAAGAGUGACAACCCAAGCUCACACUUCACUCAGCAGCCCCCAAGACAGCUGGCAACUCAGGUGCCAUGGAGUUCUGGGAAUAGGGUGUUCUCUGUCUGUCUACCUUCCCCGGGAUUUUGGUUAUGUCCCCAAAGCAUCCCCGUCAGGCAAAGGCAACAACGCAUGUAUAAAUUAAUAAAGGACUCCACUGUGCAAUCAGG
This 835-nucleotide long non-coding RNA is filed under the name Mus pahari (shrew mouse). RNAcentral's name for it is "RIKEN cDNA 1810008B01 gene (MGP_PahariEiJ_G0003069.1)". The record is from RNAcentral. Lineage: Eukaryota; Metazoa; Chordata; Mammalia; Rodentia; Muridae.